AUCAGACACUUUUCUAUAAGAUCGAAAGAGUAACUUAUUAGACUACAAACCUACACAAGAAAAUGAGGAUUCAGCGUCUAUUACCUUUCUCCAUUUGUUUGAUUACGAGUAUGUAUAUGGCAGAAGCAGUAUGUAAUCAAUCUAAAGUUGGGGAAUGUGGUAGAAAGUACUUAGCGAAUUUGAUUGAUAUAGGCUUUGGUUCUGGCAAUAAAGAAUAUAAGAUGGACAAAAUAUGCUCGGAGUUGAACACCUAUGUUACAUGCUCCAAGACUGCUGGAUGUUAUACUAGUGAAUUUGAGAAAAAAUACAAGCGCGAAUUAGUAAAAAGAAACAUAUCCUGUGGAGCGGGUAUGACGUCAUAUAGUUAUAUACUGUUGAUAGUAUCUACUGCCAUCAUUUUGAUAAACCACAAAGUUUAGAGAUCAACUUCCGCAAUACAUCCCCAAGUAACCAUUUUGUACUUCGGGU
Molecule: long non-coding RNA, 468 nt
Organism: Patella vulgata (common limpet)
Lineage: Eukaryota; Metazoa; Mollusca; Gastropoda; Patellidae
Exons: 4
Source: RefSeq, a predicted model, not a curated record